Podarcis lilfordi (Lilford's wall lizard) is the source of this 72-nucleotide non-coding RNA. The record is from the annotation of a GenBank genome assembly. Lineage: Eukaryota; Metazoa; Chordata; Lepidosauria; Squamata; Lacertidae.
GUCUGAUAGCUCAGUCAGUAAAGUGUGAGACUCUUAAUCUCAGGGUCGUGGGUUCAAGCCCCAUGUUGGGCA